AACUGAGACUUCACCCACAAUUUAAUGUCUUCUCCUUCAUUAGCCUUAUCUGUUGCUUCAUCAUCAUUAUCUUCUGCUUCAUCAUCAUCAACCAAUUCUAACUUACGCUUCCAGCCUCGCGUGGAUGUACUAACUUUUGUUUUUGAUGGAGUUCUUUUAGAAGAAGAAGUUGGCGAAAGUUUCUUUUU
Molecule: small RNA, 188 nt
Filed under: Arabidopsis thaliana (thale cress)
Lineage: Eukaryota; Viridiplantae; Streptophyta; Magnoliopsida; Brassicales; Brassicaceae
Description: ATSL042420
Source: RNAcentral